Molecule: non-coding RNA, 198 nt
Organism: Pelodiscus sinensis (Chinese soft-shelled turtle)
Lineage: Eukaryota; Metazoa; Chordata; Testudines; Trionychidae
Source: RefSeq, a predicted model, not a curated record
GGAAGAAUGACUUCUCGUGUCUAGCUCACAGCACUCCUGUUAAUGCAGCCCAGAACCAGAGGAGUUUCCUUGGUGCACCCCAUGUAAAGUGUUGGGGCCACACAUCCAUGCAAGGAGCUGAUUGCAAGGCCUGUACCUGGGAUGGAAGUGUUCGCUGUAUGUACCUGUGGAACACAAAAUAAAAGUGCGUUCCCCUUA